RNAcentral lists this ribosomal RNA (88 nucleotides) under Escherichia coli. RNAcentral's name for it is "partial 23S ribosomal RNA". It matches the Rfam family "Bacterial large subunit ribosomal RNA", at positions 1 to 80 of the family's 2925-position model. The record is from RNAcentral. Lineage: Bacteria; Pseudomonadati; Pseudomonadota; Gammaproteobacteria; Enterobacterales; Enterobacteriaceae. RNAcentral also lists the same sequence under 1 other name.
AGUAAAUUGGUUAAGUUAGAAAGGGCGCACGGUGGAUGCCUUGGCACUAGGAGCCGAAGAAGGACGGGACUAACACCGAUAUGCUUUG